Molecule: ribosomal RNA, 500 nt
Filed under: uncultured bacterium
Lineage: Bacteria
Description: partial 16S ribosomal RNA
Rfam family: Bacterial small subunit ribosomal RNA
Source: RNAcentral
AUUGAACGCUGGCGGCAAGCUUAACACAUGCAAGUCGAGCGGGGUGAUGGUGCUUGCACUAUCACUUAGCGGCGGACGGGUGAGUAAUGCUUAGGAAUCUGCCUAUUAGUGGGGGAUAACGCGGGGAAACUCGCGCUAAUACCGCAUACGUCCUACGGGAGAAAGCGGGGGCUCUUCGGACCUCGCGCUAACAGAUGAGCCUAGGUCGGAUUAGCUAGUUGGUGGGGUAAUGGCCCACCAAGGCGACGAUCCGUAACUGGUCUGAGAGGAUGAUCAGUCACACUGGAACUGAGACACGGUCCAGACUCCUACGGGAGGCAGCAGUGGGGAAUAUUGGACAAUGGGCGAAAGCCUGAUCCAGCCAUGCCGCGUGUGUGAAGAAGGUCUUCGGAUUGUAAAGCACUUUAAGUCGGGAGGAAGGGCUGUAGGCUAAUACCUUGCAGUUUUGACGUUACCGACAGAAUAAGCACCGGCUAACUUCGUGCCAGCCGCCGCGGUAA